AGAUCGACCGUGUUAUAUUCGCUUGGCUGACUUCGAAUAAUACAUGGUUGAUCUUU
Molecule: microRNA precursor, 56 nt
Filed under: Mus musculus (house mouse)
Lineage: Eukaryota; Metazoa; Chordata; Mammalia; Rodentia; Muridae
Source: RNAcentral